GUGUCAGCAGCCGCGGUAAUACGGGGGGGGCAAGCGUUGUUCGGAAUUACUGGGCGUAAAGGGCGCGUAGGCGGCUCGCUAAGUCGGGUGUGAAAACUCUGGGCUCAACCCAGAGCCUGCAUUCGAAACUGACGAGCUAGAGUUUUGGAGGGGAAAGCGGAAUUCCUGGUGUAGCAGUGAAAUGCGUAGAUAUCAGGAGGAACACCGGUGGCGAAGGCGGCUUUCUGGACAAAAACUGACGCUGAGGCGCGAAAGCUAGGGGAGCAAACAGGAUUAGAUACCCCGGUAGUCC
This 292-nucleotide ribosomal RNA is filed under the name uncultured bacterium. RNAcentral's name for it is "partial 16S ribosomal RNA". It matches the Rfam family "Bacterial small subunit ribosomal RNA", at positions 505 to 796 of the family's 1533-position model. The record is from RNAcentral.